RNAcentral lists this transfer RNA (74 nucleotides) under Marmota monax (woodchuck). RNAcentral describes it as "tRNA.Thr". Lineage: Eukaryota; Metazoa; Chordata; Mammalia; Rodentia; Sciuridae. The record is from RNAcentral.
GUGGAUAUAGCUCAGUUAGCAGAGUGCUCACCUAGUGUGCGCAAGGCCCUGGGUUCAAUCCUCAGUAACACACA